AAUAUACCUACCUUUUUCCAUCUAUUGUCCCCUUCCAUAAACCUGUCUAAUCUUCUCUUAAAGCUCUCUAACGCCCUAGCACUAACAACAUGAUUACUGAAUCCGUUCCACUCAUCUACCACUCUAUUUGAGAACCAAUUUUUUCCUAUCUCCUUCCUAAACCUAAAUUUUUCAAGCUUGGACCCGUUAUUUCUUGUUCUAUCCUGGUUGCUGAUCCUAAGAAUUUUGCUUACAUCCCUUAUGUUAUAACCCUUAUACCACCUAAAGACUUUUAUCAGGUCUCCUCUUAACCUACAUAUCUAUAAAGAAUGUAAAUUUAACAACUUCAAUCUCCCCUCGUAAGGAAUACUCCUCAUCCCCUGUAUCCUUUUAGUCAUUCUCCUCUGUACUGAUUCUAAUAGACCUAUAUCUUUCCAGUAAUGUGGUGACCAGAACUGCACAGCAUAGUCUAGAUGAGGUCUGACCAACGCCAAGUAUAAAUUUAAUAUUACUUCUGGCUUUCGACUUUUAACACUCCUAAAAAUUAAUCCUAGUACCCUAUUUGCCCUGUUUUUGGCCUCUAUGCAUUGUUUUCCUAGACAGAGUUCAGAGCUAGCUAUAACUCCUAAAUCUUUCUCGUACCCUGUACCUACCAGAGUUUCGUUGUUUAAUGUGUUCCUAUUGUGUGGGUUUCCUCUAUCUACACUAAGUACUUUGUAUUUAUUGAUAUUAAAUUGCAUUUGCCAUCUGUUCAUCCAUUCAUUCAUCCUAUCUAAAUCUGCCUGCAAGGCAAUGGCAUCUGAUUCUGACCUAAUUAAUCUACCUAUCUUUGUGACAUCUACAAAUUUACUAACAUCACUACUAAUUUCACUAUCCAAGUCAUUGAUAUAUAUUAGAAGUAGCAAUGGCCCUAAUACUGAUCCCUGUGGCACCCCACUAAUUACAUGACCCCACUUGGAUGUUGUGCUGUUUAUUACAACUCUGUCGCCUGUCACUAAGCCAUGAUCCUAUCCAGCCUAACACCUUCCCAUCCAUCCCCGUGUGCCCUAACCUUGUCAAAUGCUUUACUAAAGUCCAGAUAUGAGAUAUAACUAUCACCAUUAUCUGCUGCCUCGUACACUUUACUGUAAAAACUUAACAAGUUUGUCAGGCAAGACUUCCCCUUCGUGAAGCCAUGCUGUGACUGAUUUAUCAAGUUAUGUUUGUCUAAGUGUUCCCUAAUGUUCCACGCUAUUAUUGACUCUAAUAUUUUACCUACAACUGAGGUUAAGCUGACAGGUCUGUAGUUAGACGCUAAAGUUUUAUCUCCUUUCUUAAACAUGGGUACAACAUUAGCCUGCCUCCACGUUACUGAUACCGCACCUAACUCAAGUGAUUUCCUAAAGACAGAAACUAACAGCUCACUAAUAACCUCUUUGCAUUCCUUAAGUACUCUUGGAUAUAUCUCCCUAGUUAUGGAAAUAUCUAUCAGCUUCUCAUUUUCAUCUGCUCUAAACAUCUGUUCACUAUCUGGCAUAUCCUGCAUGUCUUCCUGGGUGAAAACAGUUAAAAAAUACUCAUUCAGAAUUUUACUAAUCUCCCCAGAACUAACCAACUCCCCAUCUGCUGCCUUUAAUGGACCUAUAGUAUCCUUAUUCUUCGUCCUGUAUACCUGAUAAAAUCCCUUGGGGUCCGUCUUUGCCUGGCUGGCUACCUUUAAUUCAUAAUUGCCCUUAGCUUUCCUCGUUAACUUCCUGACUGUUCUAAUUCAUUAUAUUGUGACCUUAAAACUUCUUCAUCUGCCCUUAAUCUCUUAUAUAUACUUCUCUUAUGCCCUAUAUAAUGAUUUAACCUAGCAGUCAUGCAUUUAGGAUAAUUUUUUUGUGAUCUUAUUGCCCUAUAAGGGAUAUUUGCUAACUGACCUGUAUAAACUUUAUGAAAUAUUUAUACAAUUCAUCUACCUUUACUUCACCUAAUCCCCUCAUCUCGUCCCCUACCAUCCUCUCCACUCCCUCAUCUACUCGCCUCGACCUCACCUCUCUCAUUUCAGCAUGACCUGACAUUCUAACAUACUCACACCUAUCUCCUCCUCCCUCUCUCCUCUGCCUCUUCUGGACACAUCUUCCCUCCUCUUGUCCUACACCCUCACACCUCACCUCACCUCUCUCAUCUUGCCUUAUCUCUCUCAACUCCAUCCUGGACCUGACCUCACCCUGCAUCCGUUGCCAAUCAACUCCUUGUAGGUACCUUUUUAAUUCCUCAAAAUCUGCUCUCCUGAAGUCAGGUAUUUUACUAGUGUUUUUUGCUUCUAAAAGUUUCUUCCCAUUUUAAAUUGUACCUAAUUUCCCUAUGGUCACUGUUACCUAGCUGUCCUCCAACCUCUACUUGCGUGACUGCUUCCUCCCUGUUAGUAAGAAAUAAAUCUAGAAUAUUGUUCCCCCUUGUGGGUUCUAUGACUACCUGUUUUAAAAAAUUAUCCUGAAUUACCUUAAGAAAUUCCUCUGCUUCCUUGUUACCCACCAUCAGACUCCAGUUGAUAUUCCUAAAAUUAAAAUCUUCUACCACACAUACCUGACUGUACCUGCCUGCUCUAUUUAUUUCCUGCCACAGUGAGGUGUUAAAUUUCCUUUGUACUGGUCGGUGGUCUGUACGCUACUCCCAGUACUAUUGACUGUGAUCCUUCCUUAAUAUCUACCCAUAUCAACUCUGCUUUAUUAUCUGUUUUAAUUCUACUGUUAAUAUGACACUGUAAUGUUUCCCUAGCGUUUAACGUGACACCUCCUCCUCUCCUGUUUUCCAUGUCUUUAUAGAACAAUGUAUAACCAUCUAUCUUAACCUCUGGAUUAAAUACUUUUCCUGACAUAUCUAACCAAGUUUCAGUUAAAGCAAUGGGCCACAUCCCUUCGGGUUACAUCUCAUACCUACUUGCUGCUAGGUGAAUAAGGGCUACACAUUAAGAGGCUCGCCCAAAGUAGAAGGCCUGAAGUAAUAUUAAAGUUAUAUUUGGCGCUGGUCAGACCUUAUCUAGACUACACUGUGCAGUUCUGUUCCCCACAUUACAGGAAAGAUAUAGGUCUAUUAGAAUCAGUAAAGAGGAGAAUAACUAAUACCCAACAUUCUUGACUUUUUCCUGACCUCUAAUCCUUCUGCUUAUGCUGUCACCCUCUCUUCUCCGUUGCACUCCUCCGAUCACAGUCUCAUAUCUGUAUCUUGUCCUAUUGCUCCAAUCCUUCCUAAGGAUCUCCCUAAGCAGAGGUGCCUCUGGCAUUUUGCCUCUGCCACUUGAGGGCACCUGAGGAGGCACUUCAUGGCAGACGCUUUGUCAACUUUACUUAAAAGUUAGAUAAUGAUAGAGAAUGGCACAUUUGGGAAUAACUGAUUAUUACCUUUCUGAGUCAUUUUGUGUGUUGUUAUGUGGAUCACUUAAGUCAUCUGACCAAUCAGAUUUAUUUUCUCCAUUUCCAUGUACUCUGACUGUGAAUUCUGUAAAUUCCAUAAAUUUUCAUGGCAAUUUAAUCAUUUUUACUGUUACCAGUACUUUUUCAGUCAUGUGAAGCUAAAGAGUGACUGGCAGAUAUUCAGGAUCAUCAAUGUACUGGAUAGGCUGACCUAAUGUUUGUCUAAUGGAUGUUGACCUCAUAUAACAUCUAGUGCCUAUUUUCUGCUUUUUAUUUCCUACUCACAAGGACAGCCUCUUUCUUAUGCUUAUGGUUGUGCACUAAAAGAGAGACCAAUUAAAACAAUUUGUUUAUAAACUUGGUCAGAGGACACAUUACACAGAGUUUCACAGUAUAAUAAAUCACACCUAUGUAACAGUGUUUAGCCGUCUUUUGGUGUUCCAUUUUGGUACUUCUGGUACAUAAAAAUUCCAUCAACUAUGAAGCUCAGAAACUAUAGCUUUCCAGGUGUAAUUCAUACUCUAGAUCUGUCUUUUGGCUACAAGGAUGCUCAGGGGAUUAGUGUUAUCAAUCUCAAUGAAUAUGCAACAAACAAGGGGCCCAUUUACAUUAUGUGAGUAUUUCUAAGAGACAGCAUGCCAAAUCACAUCCCUUACCAUACCUGCAUGUGGAUUGUAGCAUGGCCAAGAGUGGCAGAAUUCCCCAGAAAUGUUUCAUAGGCACCGAGGAGUGCAUCUACUGAUGAGGUAGCAACAAGUGAUUUGUAGUUUGCAGAUCUUCACUGGUGUCUUUGAUGGUCACAGACCAUCGGAGAAUAUCAAAGUACAUUUUUAGAUCCUCCUGUUGAUCAACCUGAACACCUCGUUACUUGACCUUUUUCUCGCAUGUAGUGCAGAUAUGCCAUGGGUACCUUUUUUUAUUUCUUUUGGGUUGCAGACUUUUCAGAGUAUUUUCUCACUGAAUUAAACAGUCCAAUGGUUUUGAACUAGUUCCACCUUUGCUGACCAUUAUUUACACUCUUGCCUGAGCAUCCAGCUACAAGACAAGAUCAUCUGCAAGAUUGAGGAUUGAAGUAAAUAAAUGUCAUAGAUGUCAUACAGUUUCAGUUAAAUAAAUGUAAUGAAAUUAUCUUAAGGUAUAUUUGCAUAUGUACUGUGGAUUGCUGUCUGGUGCAACCUCCCUUGGACAUGGGGUAUGUGUCCAGAUAUGGGCUCUUAGUUUCAGCUUUUAACUGUUGCCCAAAUCUUCUGGUAAUUUUCAACAAUAUUCUCAGUGAGGAAUUCCACUCACACUGGUGAGAGAAAUUAGAAAGUUGUGUAGUGAGGCUGAGGGGGAAGGGAAAGCAUGCAAUUAACAAGAUCAGAAGAGCAGUUAGUGUAAAAAUAGCAAGAGAUACAACAUGGGUGAUGAGAGAGGCUGAAACUGAAAUUAAAGGAGAGGAGUCCUUAAGAUGAAAUGUAUUUUAUUUCACUUUGUCUGGAAGAGCAGUGUGAGUGGAAUCAUCCCCCCCCACCUCCUACCUACAUGUGAAGCAUACUCCAUACAUGACAGAUAAGGUCCAGUAUUGAGCAGGCAUCUGGGGUUGUGGAAGGAAAAAAAAAAAAAAAAAAUGGUGGAGACAACUCAAAACUUCUAACUUCAUAGAAGCUAUUUUAGCUAGAGAUGAAAAGUGAAGUUUCCACCUUUGAUUAUUAGUAAAUGGCAAACCAAUAAUGUUCAUUGUUGAAGAGGAGCACAGUUAAGUGUUACUGAAGAAGAGGGGAUACUUAUGGAAUGUUUUGCCACGGGUUUGAGUUUUUGAAGCAAUGAAUAAUACUAAGUUUUCUCUGUCCCAAUCAUACACAGCUCUGUGGUGAAAGAGUGAUGAUCCAACAUGGCUACAGAAAAUUGCUACCGACUGUGGGCAUUCCCUAGAGAUGGUCACCAGGUAUUACAAGAUGGGUGAAAAGGUGGCUCCAGGGAAACAAGGAGUUGAAACCCAGACUCAUUUGAGGAAUAUGGAGGAAGAGAUGUACAAUCCACAGGAGGUGGUGUGUGGCUGAAGGAGUGUUGUGGUUGAAGGACACUCUCCUGAGAUUUAGUGGAUAUUCCAGUAUGACGUGAAAUUAUGAUGGCCAUAUAUAGUAAAACCUGAUGUACUGAUCAUGUAUUCAUCCUUUUCACAGCUCUCCAAAUAUCAUUGAGGAGGUUGAAAUAAAUGAACUGGAUGAUGAAGCCCACAUAUCAAGGGUGCUAGUGGCAGAGGAAUUUCUACAACCUGCAUAACCUGAUGACCAAGUUUCUGUCACAUUAAGAGAAUGUGGACUUGAUUGAAGGUCAGACUAGAUGGUGAGCACUUGCAGUAUCACUAGUCCUAUACAAAUCUACUAGAGGAGGAUAGGAAAGUUCACAGGAUGAUGUUAGUGGUACCCUACGCCUUCUUGGGACCAAUGGUGGAGGCAGCAGCGUUGGCCUUGAGCACGGCACCAGGUGAUGGGUACGGGCGCAUCUGGAAAAGUGGACCACUGGCUGUCACAUCAGCUCCAGUGCGUGCCUCAUUCUUCUGUGGCAAUCCAGAUGACCAUGUGCCUCUGUGGGGAAUAGGACCAUCAACAUUAUUACACUGCCACCUAUAUAACUAAUCACUGCUAUCACUAUAACCCUUGUCACAACCACCAUUAUCUCUUAGGAACAUCAAUAUUAUUACAUUACCACCUGUAUGACUAAUCCCUACCACUAUAAUCCUUAUCACAACCAUCAUUAUCACCACUGUUAAUGUCAUGACUACCAUUUUCACCAUCUUUAUGAACAUCUUCACUUGUAUCCAGUCCUAAAGUGUGCAGCAGUGUCCAUGUGUUACCUUCAUCACAAAAACAUAUAUGUUUAACUGAUUCAGAGGUUUCAGUAAGGCUUAUUAUUAUGUUCUCACUUUGUUUUGUGGCAAGAUAAGUUGAACCUGCCAAUAAAAAAUUAAUGAUGUAUGGGUUAA
Scylla paramamosain (green mud crab) is the source of this 6324-nucleotide long non-coding RNA. RefSeq lists it as uncharacterized. NCBI's taxonomy places the organism in Eukaryota, Metazoa, Arthropoda, Malacostraca, Decapoda, Portunidae. The record is from RefSeq and is a predicted model, not a curated record. The transcript has 2 exons.